RNAcentral lists this ribosomal RNA (301 nucleotides) under uncultured bacterium. RNAcentral describes it as "partial 16S ribosomal RNA". It matches the Rfam family "Bacterial small subunit ribosomal RNA", at positions 509 to 807 of the family's 1533-position model. The record is from RNAcentral.
CAGCCGCCACGGUAAUGCGAAGGGGGCUAGCGUUGUUCGGAUUUACUGGGCGUAAAGGGCGCGUAGGCGGACUGAUAAGUCAGGGGUGAAAUCCCAAGGCUCAACCUUGGAACUGCCUUUGAUACUGUUUGUCUUGAGUUCGAGAGAGGUAAGUGGAACUGCGAGUGUAGAGGUGAAAUUCGUAGAUAUUCGCAAGAACACCAGUGGCGAAGGCGGCUUACUGGCUCGAAACUGACGCUGAGGCGCGAAAGCGUGGGGAGCGAACAGGAUUAGAUACCCCUGUAGUCCCUGUCUCUUAUAC